CCUGCCUCAGCCUCCGGGACACUGGGAUUACAGACAUGCACCUCCGUGCUUCUCUGCCUCCUUGGAGAUGGAGGAUGCUUGUUCUGCCCUGCUGCCUACCGCCAGGAGUUGUGCCUAGAUGCACAGGGCCACCCUCUGUCCCCUGUCAGUCUGACUGGUCGCUGGGAUGAUUCCUGGGGCCUGGCAGGCGCACCCCAGGGCACAGGCCAGCGCUCAUGGUGACCCUUAGCUCAGAGCUUCUGCUCAGGAGUCAGGACUCUCCGUGGCGCAGCUGGACACGAAGCUGCUCUGCUUGUUCUGUAACCAGGCAGGAGACCAGCCCUCGCGGUACUCCGGGGUGUCCCUGUUCCACCAUCUGCUCCUGCCCUUCCAAGCCCAGCUCCCCGGAACCUCCUGCGCCCUUCCUUCUCCCCUCUCCUCACCCUGGGCUUCCUCUGCGCCUUCUGACAACACGGUUCGGUGAUUCAGUUUUCGCGGUCCUCUGUUCCCUUGCCCCUUCCAGGGUUCCAGGCCUGACCCUCUGUCUGGUGUCAAUUCUGAGCACGGGGGCUCUGCUGAGCUGUCCUGGAAUUCUUACCGUCUGCUCCACUCCAGAGACUUUCCGAGCCGGGCGCAUGGCGCACACCAGAGGCCCCAGCACGCAGAGAGGCCAGCAGGAGGGUGGAGAGCUGGAGGCCGGUCUCAGCAACUCAGGGAGCCCUUGUCUCCAAAUAGAAGAUUUCACUCUAGAAGGUGUAGCUGGGGGUAGAGAGCUUCCCGGCAGGACAAGGCCUGGGUACUGCCAGGUUUUUGUUCCCUGUUAUAUGAGUCCCCAAACUGAGAAAAGGAAUAGCUACUGGAAACUGAAGAUAUGAUUUUUUUUG
Molecule: non-coding RNA, 863 nt
Organism: Ictidomys tridecemlineatus (thirteen-lined ground squirrel)
Lineage: Eukaryota; Metazoa; Chordata; Mammalia; Rodentia; Sciuridae
Source: RefSeq, a predicted model, not a curated record